RNAcentral lists this ribosomal RNA (610 nucleotides) under Marinobacter sp. RNAcentral's name for it is "bacterial SSU rRNA". It matches the Rfam family "Bacterial small subunit ribosomal RNA", at positions 48 to 650 of the family's 1533-position model. The record is from RNAcentral. Lineage: Bacteria; Pseudomonadati; Pseudomonadota; Gammaproteobacteria; Pseudomonadales; Marinobacteraceae.
GUUACACAUGCAGUCGAGCGGUAACAGGGGGUGCUUGCACCCCGCUGACGAGCGGCGGACGGGUGAGUAAUGCAUAGGAAUCUGCCCAGUAGUGGGGGAUAGCCCGGGGAAACCCGGAUUAAUACCGCAUACGUCCUUCGGGGGAAAGCAGGGGAUCUUCGGACCUUGCGCUAUUGGAUGAGCCUAUGUCGGAUUAGCUAGUUGGUGGGGUAAAGGCCUACCAAGGCGACGAUCCGUAGCUGGUCUGAGAGGAUGAUCAGCCACAUCGGGACUGAGACACGGCCCGAACUCCUACGGGAGGCAGCAGUGGGGAAUAUUGGACAAUGGGGGCAACCCUGAUCCAGCCAUGCCGCGUGUGUGAAGAAGGCUUUCGGGUUGUAAAGCACUUUCAGUGAGGAGGAAAACCUUCUGGUUAAUACCCAUGAGGCUUGACGUUACUCACAGAAGAAGCACCGGCUAACUCCGUGCCAGCAGCCGCGGUAAUACGGAGGGUGCAAGCGUUAAUCGGAAUUACUGGGCGUAAAGCGCGCGUAGGUGGUUUGAUAAGCGAGAUGUGAAAGCCCCGGGCUUAACCUGGGAACGGCAUUUCGAACUGUCAGGCUAGAGUGUG